CCAUUUGAAAUAAAUUUGAAAUUCUAAUUUGAACACUGUAUUACAUGGAAUUGACAGGCAUAACAGCGCCCCUGCCGCAAGUAGACUGUGUGGACAGCUCCUGCAAAGACAAAACAAUCAAACCAGGAUGGCCCACAUGUGGAGGUUAGGUUAGGUGAAGCAUCAUCCGUGCUGGACCAUGUACAAGUCUCUUGGAACAGAGCGUCAUAGAGGGUGAGAAUCCCGUCCUUGACAUGGACUCCCAGUACUUUGUGUUGUGCUCUCAACGAGUCGAGUUGUUUGGGAAUGCAGCUCAAAAUGGGUGGUAAAUUCCAUCUAAAGCUAAAUAUUGGCGAGAGACCGAUAGCGAACAAGUACCGUGAGGGAAAGAUGAAAAGCACUUUGGAGAGAGAGUUAAACAGUACGUGAAAUUGUUGAA
This 418-nucleotide non-coding RNA is filed under the name Rhizoctonia solani. RNAcentral's name for it is "Eukaryotic large subunit ribosomal RNA". It matches the Rfam family "Eukaryotic large subunit ribosomal RNA", at positions 1 to 412 of the family's 3401-position model. The record is from Rfam by way of RNAcentral. Lineage: Eukaryota; Fungi; Basidiomycota; Agaricomycetes; Cantharellales; Ceratobasidiaceae.